Suricata suricatta (meerkat) is the source of this 849-nucleotide long non-coding RNA. RefSeq lists it as uncharacterized. The record is from RefSeq and is a predicted model, not a curated record. Lineage: Eukaryota; Metazoa; Chordata; Mammalia; Carnivora; Herpestidae. The transcript has 3 exons.
GUGAAGGGUGAAGAGGGCCCCACUCCAGGAUCUAAGCAACUUUCUCCCAACUCCGCCCAUCUCAGAGGCCAGAGGGGGGCCCUGGAAUCCCACCGCACGGCCCUUCUUCCCAGCGGGCCUUGCGGCUGCAGCCUCCGUUGAGUCCCCCUGCGCCCCUCCACCUCCACGUCCCUUGGCGUCGGUCGAGCCCUACCUAAACGCGUUAGGAAGGGUGCACUACGACGGGCCCGUCCCGCCGAACUCGGCUCGGCCCUGGGCACAGUGGAGGGGGCGCUGGCGCCCUUUCCGCCCCGACCGCUGCAACGCAGGAUGCUCGCAAGAGGUGGUCCCCGGCCGGCGAGCGGACCCGCGCCAGGUGAGCGCACAGGCGCCCCCAGCUCAGCACGUGGUUCUUAUUUAUCCCCGUUUUAUCCGAGCAAACAAACGCUUCCUGUCACUUCCUGUCGCUUCCUGUCUUGGGUGUUGGCCCCCAAGACCCACAGAUUCCAGCAGCUCAGUGACCAGGAGAAGAAUGUGUACAAAGAAAACCACCCCCAGGCACAACGACGGAACCAAACUAGAGCCGAAAGUCUUGACAACGGCCAGAGAAGGAUGGAGUCCAGGGAAGGCAGUCUGAGUGGUGGAGAGAGGCUCAGAAGUCAGAAACGACGCAGGACAGAGCACAGUGGAAUGUCCUCUUCAAAGUGCCGGCGUAAAAAAAACUCUUGCCAACCGGCAGUUUCUAUCUAGCAAAAAUAUCCUUUAAGAUUAGAUAAACAGGGGCCCCGGCCGGCCCAGUCAGUGGAGUGUGCAUCUCUUGAUCUCAGGGUUGUGAGUUUAAGCCCCACGUUGGGUGCACAGGUCACUAAA